AAAUAUAUCGACAGUUAAUUUUUUAUCAAUUUUUUUCUGUAAGUUAGUAUUCUCAGCAGAAUCUCUAUGAAAACUAUGGCUUUAUAAUUCUCUUCAUACCUUUUCUUCUAUUACAUCGCAACACGACGAUUUGAUAUAUACUGAUAUAAACAGAAAAAGAUGUCGCUUACACAGCAUCGAAAUAACAACCCAACUAAACACACAACCAAAAGUCCCUUGGAAACACUUUUAUUGUAUUCAAGAGAAGACAGGUGUCUCUAUACAUAUAUAAUGUCAACUUCCGA
This 284-nucleotide long non-coding RNA is filed under the name Mytilus galloprovincialis (Mediterranean mussel). The record is from RNAcentral. Lineage: Eukaryota; Metazoa; Mollusca; Bivalvia; Mytilida; Mytilidae.